UACGUAGGGUGCAAGCGUUGUCCGGAUUCAUUGGGCGUAAAGAGCUCGUAGGCGGCUUAGUAAGUCAGGUGUGAAACCUCCAGGCUCAACCUGGAGACGCCACUUGAUACUGCUAUGGCUUGAGUUCGGUAGGGGAGACUGGAAUUCCUGGUGUAGCGGUGAAAUGCGCAGAUAUCAGGAGGAACACCGAUGGCGAAGGCAGGUCUCUGGGCCGAUACUGACGCUGAGGAGCGAAAGCGUGGGGAGCGAACAGG
Molecule: ribosomal RNA, 254 nt
Filed under: uncultured bacterium
Lineage: Bacteria
Description: partial 16S ribosomal RNA
Rfam family: Bacterial small subunit ribosomal RNA
Source: RNAcentral